UACGAAGGGGGCUAGCGUUGUUCGGAAUCACGGGGCGUAAAGCGCACGCGGGCGGAUCGAUCAGUCGGGGGUGAAAGCCCGGGGCUCAACCUCGGAAUUGCGUUCGAUACUGUCGGUCUCGAGUCCGGGAGAGGUGAGUGGAAUUCCUAGUGUAGAGGUGAAAUUCGUAGAUAUUAGGAAGAACACCAGUGGCGAAGGCGGCUCACUGGCCCGGUACUGACGCUCAGGUGCGAAAGCGUGUGGAGCAAACAGG
RNAcentral lists this ribosomal RNA (253 nucleotides) under uncultured bacterium. RNAcentral's name for it is "partial 16S ribosomal RNA". It matches the Rfam family "Bacterial small subunit ribosomal RNA", at positions 524 to 776 of the family's 1533-position model. The record is from RNAcentral.